RNAcentral lists this ribosomal RNA (433 nucleotides) under uncultured bacterium. Its description in RNAcentral is "partial 16S ribosomal RNA". It matches the Rfam family "Bacterial small subunit ribosomal RNA", at positions 29 to 507 of the family's 1533-position model. The record is from RNAcentral.
AACGAACGCUGGCGGCAUGCCUAAUACAUGCAAGUCGAACGAGAUCUUCGGAUCUAGUGGCGCACGGGUGCGUAACGCGUGGGAACCUGCCCUUGGGUUCGGAAUAACUUCUGGAAACGGAAGCUAAUACCGGAUGAUGACGUCAGUCCAAAGAUUUAUCGCCCUAGGAUGAGCCCGCGUAGGAUUAGCUAGUUGGUGGGGUAAAGGCCUACCAAGGCGACGAUCCUUAGCUGGUCUGAGAGGAUGAUCAGCCACACUGGGACUGAGACACGGCCCAGACUCCUACGGGAGGCAGCAGGAGGGAAUAUUGGAAAAUGGGCGAAAGCCUGAUCCAGCAAUGCCGCGUGAGUGAUGAAGGCCUUAGGGUUGGAAAGCUCUUUUAACCGGGAUGAUAAUGACAGGACCGGGAGAAUAAGCUCCGGCUAACUCCGUG